Molecule: ribosomal RNA, 253 nt
Filed under: uncultured bacterium
Lineage: Bacteria
Description: partial 16S ribosomal RNA
Rfam family: Bacterial small subunit ribosomal RNA
Source: RNAcentral
GACAGGGGUCUCAAGCGUUAAUCGGAAUCACUGGGCUUAAAGGGCGCGUAGGCGGCUGUACAAGUCAAAGGUGAAAUCCCUCGGCUCAACUGAGGAACUGCCUUUGAAACUGUACGGCUUGAGGCCGGGAGGGGGUAGCGGAAUUCCCAAUGUAGCGGUGAAAUGCGUAGAUAUUGGGAGGAACACCAGUGGCGAAGGCGGCUACCUGGACCGGUUCUGACGCUGAGGCGCGAAAGCGUGGGUAGCAAACAGG